RNAcentral lists this ribosomal RNA (600 nucleotides) under uncultured Bacillus sp. RNAcentral's name for it is "bacterial SSU rRNA". It matches the Rfam family "Bacterial small subunit ribosomal RNA", at positions 733 to 1333 of the family's 1533-position model. The record is from RNAcentral. Lineage: Bacteria; Bacillati; Bacillota; Bacilli; Caryophanales; Bacillaceae.
UGUCUUAUUGACGCUAUUCGCCCACGCGUGGUAGCACACNGAUUAGAUACCCUGUUAGUCCACUCCAUAGACGAUGAGUGCUACGUGUUAGGGGGUUUCCGCCCAUUAGUGCUGCAGCUAACGCAUUAAGCACUCCGCCUGGGGAGUACGGUCGCAAGACUGAGACUCUAAGGUAUGACGGUGCCCCGCACAAGCGGUGGAGCAUGUGGUUUUAUUCGAAGCAACGCGAAGAACCUUACCAGGUCUUGACAUCCCGUUGACCACUGUAGAGAUAUGGUUUUCCUUUCGGGGACAACGGUGACAGGUGGUGCAUGGUUGUCGUCAGCUCGUGUCGUGAGAUGUUGGGUUAAGUCCCGCAACGAGCGCAACCCUUGAUCUUAGUUGCCAUCAUUUAGUUGGGCACUCUAAGGUGACUGCCGGUGACAAACCGGAGGAAGGUGGGGAUGACGUCAAAUCAUCAUGCCCCUUAUGACCUGGGUCUACACACGUGCUACAAUGGACGAUACAAACGGUUGCCAACUCGCGAGAGGGAGCUAAUCCGAUAAAGUCGUUCUCAGUUCGGAUUGUAGGCUGCAACUCGCCUACAUGAAGCCGGGAAUC